This 190-nucleotide non-coding RNA is filed under the name Caryophanon latum. RNAcentral describes it as "6S RNA". It matches the Rfam family "6S / SsrS RNA". Rfam says of the family: E. coli 6S RNA was the first non coding RNA to be sequenced, but its function was unknown until recently. Lineage: Bacteria; Bacillati; Bacillota; Bacilli; Caryophanales; Caryophanaceae. The record is from RNAcentral.
AUAAAGCUACAUUGCUCGUACAAUAUUAAGUUUUAACCUUUAUGCUGUAAAAGGGAGUUUUAAUCGUUUAGGAAAUGGCGUGCCUUCACUCUUUUGACUGAAGGAUAAACAGGAACUAAAUUGCGAACACCCACUUUGAGGAGUGGUGGUUUAAAACUUUCUAUUCAUAUUACGUCAUUGUAGCUUUAUA